AAAAAUCAGAAGAAGAGGGGGAGGAGAUAAUCCCCUUCAAAUGGAGCAUUUAUUACCACAGUUGGGCUUGAAGCGCUGCUUUCCGAGGGGAGUCAUCACAGAUUUAAGCCUCAAAAAACAAAACCAACCACCAAACAAAACCUUCAGUAUGUUCCUACAGGUGCAACAUGAUGUCCCUAUGGGCCAAAAUGUCUUUUAUUUGAUGUUCUGACUGUUCAUUAUACCAAGAAUCUUCUGAAAAGCAAAGUGACUUGCACUGGAGGAAAGAGGUGAUCCUUCUGGUUUUCCUGAAACCUGGACAAACCACCAAUUCUGACAUGACAUUGCAACACUGACUAA
Molecule: long non-coding RNA, 339 nt
Organism: Lagopus leucura (white-tailed ptarmigan)
Lineage: Eukaryota; Metazoa; Chordata; Aves; Galliformes; Phasianidae
Exons: 4
Source: RefSeq, a predicted model, not a curated record